CGGUGGAUUAUGCGGUUCAAUUCGAUGCUAAACGAAAAACCUUACCAAGGCUAGAAAUCUAUCUGAAUCCAAGCAGAAACGUUUGGAGUCUCACAAGGACAGAUAGACAGGUGAUGCAUGGCCGUCGUCAGUUCGUGAUUUGAAUUGUUCCCUUAAGUGGGGUAACGAACGCAACCCUCGUUGGCUGUUACAAGUGUCAGCCGAGACUACCCAGCACCAAGCUCGCAGAGCUUGGUGCAAAUCCGAAGCACGAAAUCCGAAAUCCGAAACGUUUUUAAUUUUUAAAUUUAAAAAUUUUGAAUUUGUUUUGAAUUUCGAUAUUCGAAUUUCGAAUUUGCAAACCAACUUCGUUGGUUUGGUGCUGGGAGGAAGCGAGGAUGACGCCAGGUCAGCAUGUCCCUUGACGCCUUGGGCUACACGCAUAAUACAAUGGUCAUUACAACGGGUCGCGACAGCGUAAGCUUGAGCUAAUCCUAUAAAAAUGGCCCCAGUUCGGAUAGAGGGCUGAAACUCGACCUCUUGAAGUUGGAAUCGCUAGUAAUCGCGGGUCAGCUAUACCGCGGUGAAUACGUUCUCAAGUCUUGUACUCACCGCCCGUCAAGUCAGGGAAGUUGGGAGUACCCAAAGGCUCACGUAAGUGGGACUAAGGUAAACUCAAUAACAAGGACUAAGUCGUAACAAGGCACGGGUAGCGGAAGCUGUUCGUGGAAUA
Molecule: ribosomal RNA, 712 nt
Filed under: Candidatus Zambryskibacteria bacterium RIFCSPLOWO2_01_FULL_35_19
Lineage: Bacteria; Candidatus Zambryskiibacteriota
Description: bacterial SSU rRNA
Rfam family: Bacterial small subunit ribosomal RNA
Source: RNAcentral